Molecule: long non-coding RNA, 1471 nt
Filed under: Homo sapiens (human)
Lineage: Eukaryota; Metazoa; Chordata; Mammalia; Primates; Hominidae
Description: long intergenic non-protein coding RNA 1287
Source: RNAcentral
ACCUUUGGCACAGCGCGACUUCCCUGGCCCUCCCCCUGCGGACCAGUGAACCUCGCCCGAGGGCUCAAUAAAGAAGAUUUUUGCCCUCUUUUUCUCACCUCUCAGCCUUAUUGAUCCAUGGUGCCCUUCCAUUGCCUUUCAUUGGUGCCGAAACCCGGGAGGGGACACCUCCUAAGCCCCCCCAGAGGCUCAGGGGGACUCCCCUCCUGGUCGGAUCAGUCCUCUCCCUCAGUCAGGUCAGGCUUCUCCUCCACGGCCAUCUGUCCAUUUCGUCCGGUUACUUGCUGCCAGGUCGCAGUUGCUGCAGCUACUCCAGUCCAAUUCGGCCGACGCUAGAUCAACUGAGAUGCAAAACCCAUGUUCACAUCAUGAGUGAGUCUUCUAACUCGGACAAUGCAAUCAACAAAUUCUAAGACCAAAUUCCGGUGGCACUGGCUCCAAAGGCAUCAUGCCAGCAGGGACCAGAUGUGCACCUAAUCAAGAGAUGGCAUCCAAUCAGAUGGGGGUGUGACCCUUUACUAUCGUCCUCACCACAGGACUCAUGGUCUAUCAAAGAGCAAGACCUCACCAGCUCAACACAGCCACCUCCAUACACAUCUUACUGUCACUUGUGAUCAGCACCAAAGGAAGUGUCCACCUGAAGGACUCUCCCUUGAGGACUGUCAGGAUCCACCCAAGAGGUGCUCUUUGUCCACACCACGUUCCUUUUACUGGGAAAAGACUUUGCCAUGAGCAGUUUAAAAUGCUGCAGAGAAAACUGCCGUGAAAGGCUCAGCUGUACCCCCUGCUCUGUUUCAUGCCAGGCAAGGAGCCGGCUGUAGACAUGGGAAAGAAGGAUGCCAGCUCCUGAGUGUGGAAGGAGGUGAACAGGGAAAAGCAGAGAGGACAAAAGUCACAUCCCCUCCCCACAGACCCAUACUGGGGAAGGGUGGAAGAUUUAGCUGCGAGUCAAGUUCAGAAUUUUGAUUAACAUCUUGGCAUGCACAUUCGAAUUUCAGAAUCAAGACUGUUGGCCAUAAAAAAUGACUAUAGCCUUGUGUAUUACCUGAACUGAGCAGUAAAAAAAAAGUCAUGGUCCUUCUGGGGCUUUUAUUCUGAGACAGGAACCCUGAACAGGCAGGAGAAAGGGAAUGUUGACAGAGAAACAAAGACAGUUGGCGACACACGCUGACCGCCAUGCGGACGUCCAUCAAACCCAGCACUGGCCCUGGGUACGUGCGCCUUUGCUAUUACCCCAAUACAUUUUCUUCUGCAGAGCAAGCAACAGAACACAUGCAGACCUUAAUAAAUACCACUGGGUAAUGUGACAAUGGCCAAACUCUCCUCACGGGGGAGAGAGUGUCCCCCAGUUUUGCUCCCUUUUAAUUUCCAGGGUUCAUAAGUAGCUCUAAAGCUUUGCUCUACAAGGUUGAUACAUACGAUAUUAAUGUUUCCCCUAAGCAGUAUAACAUAAAUAUAUUUGCUAUCUUGA